AUGGGUUUAUCAGGGGUUUCCGCUUUUGCUUCCUUUCUCAUUUUCUCUUGCUGCUGUGUUUUAAGAAGUGCCUUUCUCCUCCCACCAGGAUUCUGUGGACUCCCCCCCAGCCAUGUGGAACUGUACAUGGAUGAAUCUGGAAACCAUCAUUCUCAGCAAACUGACACAAGAACAGAAAAUCAAACACCACAUAUUCUCACUCAUAGGUGGGUGUGGAACAAUGAGAACACAUGGACACAGGGAGGGGAGCAUCACACACUGGGGUCUGUUGUGGGGCUAGGAGAGGGAAAGUGGUGGGUAGGGAGUUGGGGAGGGAUAACAUGGGGAGAAAUGCCAGAUACAAGUGAUGGGGGAAUGGAGGCAGCAAACCACCAUUGCCGUGUAUACCUAUGCAACAAUCCUGCAUGUUCUGUACAUGUACCCCAGAACCUAAAGUGCAAAAAUAAAAUAAAAACGUAGUAAAAAAAAAAAAGUAAUUCACAUUUAAAGUAUUUUUUCAGUUGAAACAAUGUUGAGGGUUUUGGGUUCAGAAGUGACAUUGAACUUAGCGUUCUGACCAAUCUUAGGACUAAUCCUAAAUCGAAUCCUAAAACUAGGAUUACCUGGGAUAAGAGCAGAAGCGGAGAGUCCAGUUAGGAGACCACUACAAUAUCAUUGAAAGAAAUGAUGCCAGUAGGACACAAGUAAUAGUGCUGAAAAUCAUGAAAUUUGUUCAAAUCCUGAAGGUAAAGUUGGUAGGAUUUACCAAAAGAUUGUAAGAGGGAGUGAGAGAAAGAAAAUAGUCAGAGAUGACUCCAAGGGAUUCCUCUGUGUUGAGUAGAGUGUGCAAUUAUCAUUACCUCAGUGAGAAAGACAGUAAGGAACAGGUUUGAGGAAAGAUGCUGGAACUUUGGUGCUGGACUUGAUAGAGAAAAGUCAGGCAUAGAGAUACACUUUCGUGAGCCAUUAGCAUUCCAUUAGCUAUUGCUGCGUAAGAAACAACCAUCGAAUCUCAGUGAAAUUGAUGGUACGAUUUUAUUUCUCACAUAUCUACAGGUUGACUUAUGAUUGGCUCUUCUAGUCUAGCUUUAUUUAGGCCACUCUGCUUAAGCUAAGGGUCACACUGGAUUUUGCAAUGCUCUACAAUCUGGGUUUUAGUCUUCUCCACCUCUAUUCCUGCUGGGACUCAGCUUUCUCCUUAUGAUGAUAGACAUAAGAGGGUGGGCCCCAUUGCCCAAACACAUUUCAUGUCUAAUAUUGUCUCAUUGAUUAAACAAAGUCAUGAGGCCAAUCCCAAAGUCAGGAAAUAGGGAGUUCCAUUCCACUUUUUGUAGGAGAAAAUGCAAAAUUACCUAGUAAAGCUGUGGAUACAGACAGAAGUGAAACCAUGAAAACAAUAAUUAAUUUUGCCAUGGGUGCGUGUGUCAUACUUAAAGCCAUGAGCCUAGGUGAAAUCCAAAAUGAUUCACCUAUUACUUUUCCAUCAGCUAUGUAUGAGAAUUUAUAUGUCUUUGCUCUGUGUUAUUAUUUUAAAACUGAUUUGACAAUGUGAGGGACAAAAAAAAUAACACUCGUCUUAACUACAGUAAUUGUAUUUCUAAACCAAGGUUAAGGCAUAGAAAUACUUGGAGUCACUGUGUGAUUUUGAUUUUCCAGUAGGAUUUUCAUUCAGUGGUUUAUUAGGCCUUGGUCCAGUUACCAAAAAAGAAAGGUUUCCCAAUAGAUUUUGUUGCCUUUUAUAUUUUUAACCAUUUUUUGUUUAUAUUUAAUAAUUACCAGAAACAAGAAUGAAUUUCAAAUAAGUGUGGGAAAUAAGUGAGAGAAAGAAAACAGUCAAAGGUGACUCCAAGGGAUGUUUUUUGUGUGUGUUUGAGUAGAGUAUGCAGUGGUCAUUAACUAGAUGAGAAAGACAUCAGAACUUUAGUGUUAGACAUGAUAACUUUGAAAUUUUAGAAAUGUGGAAUUGGGAGCUGGAGUUAGAGAAGAGUCAGGCAUAGAGAACUAAUUCUGUGAGCCAUUAACAUUCCAUCAGCUAUUGCUGUGUAAGAAAUAACCAUAGAACCUUCCAACUCUAAUCCAACUCCUAGAGUUUGUUCUCCUUUAGUCACCACUAAUUCAUCAGAAUGGAUAAUGAUUUGGUGAGAACCAAAGAAAACAAUGGUGCAUAUUACAACGCUAAGAAAGCCUAAAGAAUUUCAAUUCACACAUGCAGUGUUGAAAAUAUGAUAAACAGUAAAGCCACCACAGAAAAACGUAUCAUGCUCUUUUGCAGAUUCGGUAGGGGGGUCCUGUCUCAUUUUAAAGGCAUUGUUGUGAGAAUGUGACCUAUGUGCCUUUCUCUGGUUAAAGGCUCACAUAUGCCUGUCCAUUCACAGCAAAGGGCAUUAUGCACUAUUUACAAUGCACACAAUCUGUUCAAGGCGUUUGAAAUUCAUUAUUGUGUGGGCUGCAUAUAUUUUCAUUGAGUUGAAACCCUUAAGAUUUCUGAGGUAUUGUAAAAAUACAUGUUUUUAGUGACUGAAAUAUUUAUCUUAAGAAAGCAAUUACAAUAUUAGGAUCACAAAGCAUUUACAUACAAAUUGUACUGAGUUUAGUGAUGAUCUUAGAAACAAGCACAUGGACAAGAAGCUAUAGGUAAAGCCUUAAAUAGGAAAGAAUAUUUUCUUUUCAGCAGUUGCACUGGAUGACUAUGCUUUCCUCUUGCACAUAAUAAAGAGAACAGUACUGUAUACUUUGUGUAAAAAUAGAAAAUCUAUUAAGGAAU
Molecule: long non-coding RNA, 2743 nt
Organism: Callithrix jacchus (white-tufted-ear marmoset)
Lineage: Eukaryota; Metazoa; Chordata; Mammalia; Primates; Cebidae
Source: Ensembl